Molecule: transfer RNA, 80 nt
Filed under: Cylindrobasidium torrendii FP15055 ss-10
Lineage: Eukaryota; Fungi; Basidiomycota; Agaricomycetes; Agaricales; Physalacriaceae
Description: tRNA-Leu (AAG) (tRNA-Leu-AAG-2-1)
Rfam family: tRNA
About the family: Transfer RNA (tRNA) molecules are approximately 80 nucleotides in length. Their secondary structure includes four short double-helical elements and three loops (D, anti-codon, and T loops).
Source: RNAcentral
GGCGAGAUGGCCGAGCGGUCUAAGGCGCCAGACUAAGUAUCUGGUCCGAAAGGGCGUGGGUUCGAAUCCCACUCUCGUCA